CAGAGAAUAGUUUAAUAAGAAUAUUAAUUUUGGAGAUUAAUGGUAAGUAGGUCUUUUCUCUGA
RNAcentral lists this transfer RNA (63 nucleotides) under Coraebus diminutus. Its description in RNAcentral is "tRNA-Pro". The record is from RNAcentral. Lineage: Eukaryota; Metazoa; Arthropoda; Insecta; Coleoptera; Buprestidae.